GACGAACGCUGGCGGCGUGCCUAAUACAUGCAAGUAGAACGCUGAAGGAGGAGCUUGCUUCUCCGGAUGAGUGGCGAACGGGUGAGUAACGCGUAGGUAACCUGCCUGUUAGCGGGGGAUAACUAUUGGAAACGAUCGCUAAUACCGCAUAACAGUAGAUGUUGCAUGACAUUUGCUUAAAAGAGGCAAUUUCAUCACUACCAGAUGGUCCUGCGUUGCAUUAGGUAGUUGGUGAGGUAACGGCGCACCAAGGCGACGAUACAGAGCCGACCUGGGAGGGGGAUCGGGCCACACGGGAACGAGAACAGGCCCCGGACCCCACCGGAGGCAGCCGGAGGGGAACUUCGGGCAUGGGCGGAAGUCUGGACGGGCCAAGCCCGGUGGGUGAAGAAGGUUUUCCGAUCCUUAAGAUCUGUUGUAAGAGAAGAAAGAGUGUGAGAGUGGAAAGUUCACACUGUGACGGUAUCUUACCAGAAAGGGACGGCUAACUACGUG
This 495-nucleotide ribosomal RNA is filed under the name uncultured bacterium. RNAcentral's name for it is "partial 16S ribosomal RNA". It matches the Rfam family "Bacterial small subunit ribosomal RNA", at positions 28 to 507 of the family's 1533-position model. The record is from RNAcentral.